GGGCCCGUAGCUCAGCUUGGCAGAGCGGUUGGCUCUUAACCAAUAGGUCGCGCGUUCAAAUCGCGCCGGGCCCG
RNAcentral lists this transfer RNA (74 nucleotides) under Candidatus Fermentimicrarchaeum limneticum. RNAcentral describes it as "tRNA-Lys". It matches the Rfam family "tRNA". Rfam says of the family: Transfer RNA (tRNA) molecules are approximately 80 nucleotides in length. Lineage: Archaea; Nanobdellati; Microcaldota; Candidatus Fermentimicrarchaeales; Candidatus Fermentimicrarchaeaceae. The record is from RNAcentral.